AAUCGCUUUAUGCAGUUGUUUAUUUGUCGUAUAGUUAUUAGGUUUUGAUAUUGUUGGUUGUGAAUUUAUAAAAUAUUUUUUUGCUUGUUCCGUAAAUAGUUUGCAAUCGAUCUUGCUAUGCUGUAUGUUGUCAGUAAAUGCUCAGCACAGCAUCAGAGAGAAAGCUGAAAAAGUAGUAACUAUGCCAUGUCCCUGUGGUAGUCUUAUGGUGACACCAUAGGAUUGGCAGAACUAUGUUAAAUAGACAUUAGGCCCUAAUUAAAAAACAUUGGUUUUUGUUAUUUGGAACUAGGAAGAAGAAAAUAUACUUUCUGAACUUUAUGUCCAGCGAAGUGUUUCAUGCCAUAGGAGCUUCCCUGACUAUUAUGGGGCCUAUUAUGAAAGGAGUGAAGACUCACUUUGGAUUGCCAUGGAAUUCCUUUCUGGCGGCUCUGUAGCAGAUUUAAUUGAGACCAAGAAUUAUUCCUUGGGAGAGCACUGGAUAGCCUAUAUAUGCAAGGAAGUAUUACUGGGCUUGACUUACUUGCAGGAGAUGAAUGUGAUCCAUCAUGACCUUAAGGGCCUCAAUAUAAUGCUAACAUCAAGCGCCCAAGUGAAG
Xenopus laevis (African clawed frog) is the source of this 598-nucleotide long non-coding RNA. RefSeq lists it as uncharacterized. The transcript has 3 exons. NCBI's taxonomy places the organism in Eukaryota, Metazoa, Chordata, Amphibia, Anura, Pipidae. The record is from RefSeq and is a predicted model, not a curated record.